UACGUAGGGUGCGAGCGUUAAUCGGAAUUACUGGGCGUAAAGCGUGCGCAGGCGGCUCCAUAAGACAGAUGUGAAAUCCCCGGGCUUAACCUGGGAACUGCGUUUGUGACUGUGGGGCUCGAGUGUGGCAGAGGGGGGUGGAAUUCCACGUGUAGCAGUGAAAUGCGUAGAUAUGUGGAGGAACACCGAUGGCGAAGGCAGCCCCCUGGGUCAACACUGACGCUCAUGCACGAAAGCGUGGGGAGCAAACAGG
This 253-nucleotide ribosomal RNA is filed under the name uncultured bacterium. Its description in RNAcentral is "partial 16S ribosomal RNA". It matches the Rfam family "Bacterial small subunit ribosomal RNA", at positions 524 to 776 of the family's 1533-position model. The record is from RNAcentral.